ACGUGCAACCCGCUCUCAUUUCAUAUAUCUUGUUGCAGGCGUGCAACCCUCUCCCAUUUCUUUUAUCAACACCAAUCAUAAAAGGGUCCCGGCAAGGGAAUAAUAAUAUCAAAACAAACAUCCCAGCAAGGGAACAAUAAUAUGACAAUAACAUCCUGGCAAGGGAAAUUAAUGAUAAUAAUGUCCCGGGAUGGGAACAAUAAUGAUAAUAACAUCCCGGCAAGGGAACAAUAAUGAUAAUAACAUGUGAAGCGCAAUAAACCACAACGGAGUCAUAACAAUUACAAUACAAGACUCACGGGCAUACUUGACACUGACAUAUAGAUACUCGUCACCAUGCCUAUACAUCGUACUCCGCUAUUAACACGUAGCAAAUAAGACACGACUCCUAAUCCCUCAAGCUAAGGUUACACCAAACACUUACCUCGAUGCCAUGAACACAAUUCAAUCCUCAACUAUCACUUUACCUCUUGAUUCCACCACCAACUCGCUUGUAUCUAGCCACAAGUUACUUAAUAAUAUUAAUAAGUACUAAAUGAAUCAUUUCUAAUGCAUGGAAAUAAGUUUUCUAAAUGUUUUCCCAAAAAGUCAAAAAUUUCCCCUGGUCCCACAUGGUCAAAAUCCGAUGUUCGAACCAAAACCCGAUUACCCAUUCCCCCACGAACUCAAAUAUAUAAUUUGUUUUGAAAUCGAACCUCAAAUCGAGGUCCAAAUCCCCCAUUUUUGAAAAAACUUAGGUUCUACCCAAAACACCCAAUUUCCCCCAUGAAAAUCAUUGAUUUUGAAUUGAAAUCAUGUGAAAAGAUGUUAAUGGUUGAAGAAAACGAGUUAAAAUUGACUUACAAUCGAUUUGGAAGAAGAGUUGUCAUUGAAAAAUCGCCCAAGAAUGUUUUGGUUUUGAAAGAGUGUGAAAAAUGAAAGAUUUUCGGCUAAGUUAUAAAAUUACAGGUUGCAGAUGUCGCAAUUGCGACUAGGCUUUGCAAUUGAGAACCCAGACUUCUGCUAAGCUCACAUUUGCGAGGCGACCUUCGCAUUUGCGAAGUCACUUUUGCGAACCACAUGUCGCAUUUGCGACGACUGACCAAAAGGGGGAAACAUCGCAUUUGCGAUAAAUUCCCCGCAAUUGCAAGGAAGGCUGGUCUGGGCUAUUUUCGCAUUUGCGACAUAGCCUUCGCAUUUAUGAGCCAGGCUUCGCAAAUGCGAAUCUUGCAGGCAUGCAAUGCAACAGUUGAAAUCUGCAACUCUCCAAGUCCAAAAUUCACCCUCACGGCCUAUCCAAAACUCACCCGAGCCCUCGGGGCUCCAAACCAAUCAUGCACACCAAUCUAAAAAUAUCAUACGGACUCGCCCGUGUAUUCAAAUCAUAAAAAUAACAUCAACAACUCUGAAUUUAGCAUCAAAAUUAUGAAAUUUUGUAAGAACAUCAAAUUUCCCAAUUUCGUCAAAUAAGGUCUGAUUCAUAUCAUUUCAAGUCCGUUUCCUACCAAAUUUCACAGGUUCGACUCAAAUCAUAUAUAAGACUUGUACCGGGCUCUAGAACAAAAAUACGAGCCUGAUAACAUCAAACUUUAAACACAUUUCACUUUCAAAAACUCAUAAAUAUUCCAGAAAAUAAUUUUCUUCAAAAAUUCAUUUCUCGGGCUUGGCACCUCAAAAUUCGAUUCUGGGCAUACACCCAAGUCCCAUAUUUUCCUACGGACCCUCCGGGACCGUCAAAUCACGGGUCCGAAUCCGUUUACCCAAAAUAUUGAUCGAAGUCAACUUAAACUCAUUUAUUAGGCAAAAUUCAUCAUUUUUCACAGAUUUUCAGAUAAUGGCUUUUCGGCUACGCACCCAGACUACGCACGCAAAUCGAGGUGAGAUAGAAAGAGGUUUUUAAGGCCUCUGAAUGCAAAAUUUAUUUUUAAAAUAAGUGAUGAACUUUUGGGUCAUCACACGAUGAUUUAAAAUUAAUUGCGCCUAAAGCAAGCUACGAUGUUCAUAAUUAUCUACUUCUAAGUCGGUGAUUUGAGCUUCUCAUAAGUUCUGUCACUAUGGUUAUGAGAUGGAUUGGCAAGAAAAAUGUUCAGUUACAUUAUCCGAAACCAAAGCAAUCAAGAUAAAGGCAUUCUGUUUUGAUAGACUCAGAUAAAUUGGUCUCUUUUCCUCGGCCAAGGUAAAGGUGUUACGAUCUGAAGUGACUGUAAUCUACUUUUGUUGGAUGAAGCAAACUUAUCAUCACUGACUACAACUUUCAUGGACAAUGAGAAAGAAAUGUUAAGAAUGAACUUCUACUUUGGAAUGAUGUAUUCUGUUAACUUUAUCAUCUAUGUUCUUAUAAGAGUUCCUUAUUUUUAGCAAAAUUUACAACAACCAAAAAAACAAAGUAAAAAUAAAAAUAAAAGAGCUUCAAGUUUUAGAGUAAAUACUAAACUAAAAUUUGAAUUAAUUAGUACACAAAUGACUACUUUCAAUGCCUAUGAAGUUUUAAUUGAGCUAGGCACUAAAAAAUUCUAAAUUCCAUACCAACAAUGAUGGUAUUUCACCUCCGAGCCAUAGAUCUGCUAGACCACCUCCAUAUAUAUAAGAAAUCCAUUAUAAGUUAACAAAUAAUCUAAACCUUAACAAAUACAUACUGCUCGUUCAAACCAUAGAAUUGCCUUUUCAUGAUUGUUUCUUAUUAUUACUCAAAUUUUCAGUAUGGUUUUAGAUAUUCACCACAUUGAACUUUAAAACCAAACCCAAGCUUGCAGUCAGAAAUGAAAGAGCACUCAGUACACAUGUCAAUGAACAGCAAUUGAGAUUUCAUAUCAAUAGGACAUCCAAAUAGCAAUUACAUCAAUUGAGACCAAAAGCACAUACCUUAACAGCAGUAGUGCAACUUAUAAUAGCCAAGUAAGGAAUAAAUUCAGCAAAUUGGGGUUCAGCUACGCACAGAACAACAAAAUCUACCAGCAAAUGAGACUCUUACAGCUCAAUUAAACUUCGAAGUUUCCAGAAAAUAUCCAGCUAAGGAACUGUGAGAGA
RNAcentral lists this long non-coding RNA (3006 nucleotides) under Nicotiana tabacum (common tobacco). RNAcentral's name for it is "long non-coding RNA (NTAB_LNC005464)". Lineage: Eukaryota; Viridiplantae; Streptophyta; Magnoliopsida; Solanales; Solanaceae. The record is from RNAcentral.